UCUUUUUGAGACUUUAUUCCCUCAAAGUUGCCCCCAAAGUUAAAGCCACAGCUACCCCCAUAGGAGUGGCUCCACAUCAUCAGGACCUUGAGAUCAUCAAAUUUCCAAAUGGUUUUAUGAUUUCUCCUUUGGAAAACUAUGCCCUGCAUCAAGAAUUGGUUUGUUCAUUAAAGCAGGCAGUAGCUAUGAGGACUCCAACAAUUUAGUAACUUCUCAUUUGCUGUGUCUUGCAUCCAGUUUGACUACGAAAGGAGCUUCAUUUUUCAAGAUAGCCCAUGACAUUGAAGCAGCUGGUGGUAAAUUAAGUGUAAUUGCAACAAGAGAAAACAUAGCUUACAUCAUGGAAUGUCUGCAGAGUGAUAUUGAUAUUCUAAUGGAGUUCCUGCUCAGUGUCGCCACAGCACCAGGAUUUGGUCAUUGGGAAGUAGAUGCCUUCAGUCUCAGCUAAGGAUAGACAGAUCUGUGAAUUUUCAGAAUCCACAGGCACAUGUCAUUGAAAAUUUGCAUACUGAAGCUUAUUGGGAUGCCUUGGCUAAUUCCUUGUAUUGUCCUGGCUAUAGGAUUGGAAAAGUGACAUGGGAAGAGUUACAUUACUAUGUUUAGAACCACUUCACAAGUGCAAGAAUGGCUUGGUUGGACUUGGUGUGAGUCACCCUGUUCUAAAGCAAGUUGCUGAAUAGUUUCUCAACAGGAGGGGUGGGUUUCUUUUGUCUGGUACAAAAGCCAAAUACUCUGGAGGUGAAAUUCAGGAACAAAAUGGAGACAGUCUUGUCCAUGCUUGCUCUUGUAGCAGAAAGUGCUGCCACAAGAAGGGCACAGCAAAUGCAUUUAGUGUUUUUCAGCAUAUCAAGAGGGACACCAUAUGUCAAGGGGCACAGUGAUGCCACCAGCUAUCUAUAGCAGGCUAUUGCCAAGGCAAUUCACCAGCCACUUGCUAUUUCUGUUUUUAAUGCUAGUUACUCCAAUUUUGGACUCUUCAGGAUGUACAUUGUCUUCCAGGCUGCAGCUGCUGGAGAUGUUAUCAAGGCUACCUAUAACCAAGUGGAAAUAAUUGCUCAAGAAAAGCUUUUCAAUGUCCAGGCUGCCAAGAACAAACUGAAAGCUGGAUACCAAAUAUAAGUGAAGUCUUCCGAGGGUUUCAUAGAAGAAGUCAGGCCCCAGGCUGUAGUUACUGGUUCUUACAAGCCAAUAUCACCAGUCCUUCAGUAGAUUAGUUGGUUGGCUAGUGCUGUCAUCAUCAAUUCUGCAAAGAAGUUUGCUUCUGGCUAGAAACAAACUUCUACUUGUUAAUGGCAACAAUUGGAACAUACACCUUUGGUUGAUGAGUUGUAA
RNAcentral lists this long non-coding RNA (1332 nucleotides) under Homo sapiens (human). RNAcentral's name for it is "non-protein coding lnc-CCR1-1:1". Lineage: Eukaryota; Metazoa; Chordata; Mammalia; Primates; Hominidae. The record is from RNAcentral.